UACAGAGGGUGCAAGCGUUAAUCGGAAUUACUGGGCGUAAAGCGCGCGUAGGCGGUUUUUUAAGUCGGAUGUGAAAGCCCCGGGCUCAACCUGGGAACUGCAUCCGAUACUGGAAGACUAGAAUGCGGGAGAGGGAGGUAGAAUUCCAUGUGUAGCAGUGAAAUGCGUAGAUAUAUGGAGGAAUACCAGUGGCGAAGGCGGCCUCCUGGCUCGACAUUGACGCUGAGGUGCGAAAGCGUGGGGAGCAAACGGG
RNAcentral lists this ribosomal RNA (253 nucleotides) under uncultured bacterium. RNAcentral's name for it is "partial 16S ribosomal RNA". It matches the Rfam family "Bacterial small subunit ribosomal RNA", at positions 524 to 776 of the family's 1533-position model. The record is from RNAcentral.